AAAGAAAAUAGACAAAUUCUAAUUAUUUUUUCCUUCCUCCAUUGUUAUGGUUCCUCUCCUUUCCAAACAAGGGGUAAAAGAAUUGAUUGCAACUUUCCCCUUUGUUUAAAGGGCAAGUAACCUUCCACCUCAACCUUUGUUUUAAGCUUAAUAGAAAAGAGAAAAGAAAAAAGUUUGUUCUUUUAUGUGUAUUUUUGUCUUCAGGCUCUCCCGAUUUCGGCAUCGGACAAUCAAUGGAAUUUAGCAGAUAUACGCAAAAUUAAGAAGAUUGGGGAGUCAAAUGGUAUUGUGUGGUAUUGUGUGGUUAGUGGAACACAAGAACAAGGAACAGUUAUUUGCAUUUAAGGUUAUAAAAUUGAACCUCGAUAAGACUGCACUGAAAUUAAUUACCCAGGAAUUGAAAAUUAAUCAUUCACUGGAAUGUCCAUACGUUGUCAAGUACUACGAGUCUUUCUAUGCCAACGGUGAAUUUUCAAUUCUCAUGGAGUACAUGGAUUGCGGAACUUGGGGAGAUCUUCGGAAAAAAGCCAAAAAAAUUCCAGAAAAGUAUCUUGCAGCCAUUAGUAAGCAGGUGCUUGAGGGUUUAUCGUAUCUUAAUCAUCACGAAAAACACAUCAUUCACAGGGACUUGAAACCCUCCAAUUUAUUGAUAAAUCAGAGAGGAGAAGCCAAGAUCGGUGACUUUGGUGUGAGUGCAACUGUGGCAAAAACCUAUGGACAAGCAUCUACUUAUAUGGGGACAAGUUACUAUGUGGCUCCUGAGAGAAUUGAAGAACAGAGAUAUGACCACAAAAGCGACAUUUGGAGCCUGGGUUUGGUAUUUCUGAAGACUGUUGUUAACCAAGAACCACCUCGUGCACCUUCUAAUCAAUUUUCUCCAGCGUUUUGCUUCUUCAUAUCUUCAUGUUUGAAGAAAAAACCAGAAGACAGAAAAUCAGCACGUCAACUUUUGGAAGAUCCUUUCUUGAAAAAGUAUGAAAGUCAGCGAGUAGAUCUCUCAGCUUUCUUCAGAAAUGUUCUCCACUCUUCUGAAACUUUUGAGGCAAUUGAGAAGUCUAUUUGUCCAGAAUCAGCUUGGCCGUUUCAACUAGAGUCAAAGGAAGAGGCACCAACUCCGAAAAGAAAAUCAAAUAUAGAACAAGCAACAUCUUCACCAAGAUCGAUGAAGAUUAAAUACAUGGGUUCUGAGGUAGGAGUCUCUUCCAAGAGAAAGGAUAAAGAGGUGACAGAUGAACCAGAAAAAGUAGUCUCGUCGCUUUCCAAGAAAUCUUCGCGGGUCAAUCUUCAACUUUUAGCUAUCCCUCCACAGUCGGUGGUUCAGUCUGACUCUGAGAGUGUCCGAUCUAUUGUGGCAAAUGUGGUCAUGGAAGUGUCCUCUCCCAAAACUGAUAAACCUAUAGAGCUAGGUCCUAACAUGCUUGAUUUCUUUUCUUCAAUCAAUGAUUUGGCUGAAGAGCCUGGUCAGGAUGAAAUGAAGAUCAUAGAUGUUCCUAAAAGUCCUCCUGCGCCUAUUGGUCAUUCUAAUGAUCUUUCGAUCAAGCUGAACAAAACAAUGGACCGAGUUCGUGCCUUUGCAGAGCAAGGCCUUGCUUUCAUUCUAGACGAACAACAAAGUAACCAAUUUCUGGAACACACCAAGUUCUUGGCGGAGCAUUCUAGUGAUAAAUAUCUUUUCUCGGAGGCCAAAAACCAAGUCAAAACAAUGGCCUGUAAUUUUACUGCUAUAGCCAAUGACAUUGGAUCGGCUGCUUUUUUUCUUUCUGAGCAUCAAACAAAGCAGGACGAACUGGUUCAUUGUAAGGCAACCCUCGACCGAGUCAAAAAUGAAGGUCAUUGAUCUUUCCUUCGCCACUAUGGUCUAUCUGAAGUGCUUUGAGCCGGUGCUCCAUCUUUACCAACAACUUAAGAAAUACAGAAGGUAGAGAAUCCAUUUUUCCUUCACAAAUGGAAUUACUCUCUGGAGUAGGAGAAGAGUUAAAUUCUUGAAUUGCCUGAAACGGAAGGCGUGAAAAUACAUUUAAGUCCCUAAAAUCACUCAAGAACGACUCUGCGUUCUCCUUGCUUGAAGGUGAAGUGGUGCGCCAAUCUAAAUCCCGAACCAACCGGUAUUGCAAAUCUUCAACGAUGAAUGGAAUCUGAGAAAUCGUUUCCAUUUUAUAUUUAAAACGGAGCACGUGAUUUCCCUUUUCAGCUAAAUAUCUUAAACGACGAACAACCGCUCCAGGUUUUUAUCUAUUGUUUGAGGUGCUCAACAGAACAACUGCUCCAGGUUUUUAUCAGAAAAACUAAAUUUUUUGGUUCAGUUCAGUUGUGUAUGCAGACAAAUGUUGUUCUGGUGGACUGUAACUGAUUACAUUUUCCUUACAUUUGACUCAAUGGCUUUGUCUUACCAACAAUGGAAAGGAAGAUGUGAUUUUUUAUUUCCUUCAGUGCUGCCAAGAAUUCCGAGAGAGGGGAGGAAGUUGCCAUUAAGAAGAUUGGUAAUGCUUUCGAUAGCCAGAGACGUGCUAAAGGGACUCUCCGAGAGAUUAAGCUUCUUCUGCACAUGGACCAUGAAAAUGGUGAGAGCGAGUCACUGAUACAAAAGCAACAGGAGCG
Non-coding RNA from Jatropha curcas, 2598 nucleotides. NCBI's taxonomy places the organism in Eukaryota, Viridiplantae, Streptophyta, Magnoliopsida, Malpighiales, Euphorbiaceae. The record is from RefSeq and is a predicted model, not a curated record.